UUGUACUGUAUCUAGCUUACGUGGGUGAUUAUCUGUAGACGGACCUGGGCAAUGGUGUCUCCAUACCAAACAAAAAUGGGCGUACCUGUGCAAGCACCAAGAGUCCCGGUUUGUGAAGGAGUUGUCAGUGGUCAUAUGGGGAACGUCCACGCUUUCGCGCAAGACACUUACAGGGUGUUUGGGUAACCGCGCGAAGGCUGAAGGGAAAACCGAGGUGUUUCCAGCACUCACACCCGAGAAGGUGGAAGCCGUGCGUGGAGCGUUUGCGACCUACCUUACCAAGGAGAAAAACGUUUCACGAGAGGAGCUGAAGAAGAAGUCUGCAUUGGUACGCAAGUACCUGAGCGAGAAAAGGAGUGAUCUCCGUCGGCCCUGUAAGCAAACUUCAAAUAAACAGCAACUUGUAACAACUGGAAAUAAAGGUAACUUCAGGCGUCUACCAACGUCUUCAGAUGACUCCAGUUGUCUUCAGUGACUUCAAGAGACUUGAGACGUCUUCAUGUGGCUACAUGUGACUACAGACGUCUUCAGGUGACU
Long non-coding RNA from Ornithodoros turicata, 537 nucleotides. RefSeq lists it as uncharacterized. The record is from RefSeq and is a predicted model, not a curated record. Lineage: Eukaryota; Metazoa; Arthropoda; Arachnida; Ixodida; Argasidae. The transcript has 3 exons.